ACUGAGCCCUAUUUCAUCAUGCCCAAUUUCAUCUAAUCUUGCAAACUAAUUAGGGUCGAGCUUGGUUAGUACAUAGAUGGGUGAUUACCGUUGAAUACCAGAGCCUAUUUGAGUG
This is a ribosomal RNA of Haplochromis burtoni (Burton's mouthbrooder), 115 nucleotides long. The record is from Ensembl. Lineage: Eukaryota; Metazoa; Chordata; Actinopteri; Cichliformes; Cichlidae.